UACGGUGGGGGCAAGUGUUACUCAUAAUGACUGGGCGUAAAGGGUACGUAGGUGGUUUUGUCAGCUUUUAGUCAAAUUUUACAUUAGUCAUGUUUUUAGGCUUAAAGUACUGCAAAGCUUGAGUUUAGGAGAGGAAGGUGGUAUUCUUAGUGGAGAGGUAACAUUCAUUGAUAUUAAAAGGACGGUCUAAGGCGAAGGCAACCUUCUAGCCUAAACUGACACUGAGGUACGGAAGCAUGGGUAGCGAAUCGG
Molecule: unclassified non-coding RNA, 252 nt
Filed under: uncultured bacterium
Lineage: Bacteria
Description: contains 16S-23S intergenic spacer region
Rfam family: Bacterial small subunit ribosomal RNA
Source: RNAcentral